RNAcentral lists this ribosomal RNA (182 nucleotides) under Candidatus Bathyarchaeota archaeon. Its description in RNAcentral is "partial 16S ribosomal RNA". It matches the Rfam family "Archaeal small subunit ribosomal RNA", at positions 489 to 671 of the family's 1478-position model. The record is from RNAcentral. Lineage: Archaea; Thermoproteati; Candidatus Bathyarchaeota.
UGGUAGGGACGAUUAUUGGGCUUAAAGCGUCCGUAGCCGGUCCGGCAAGUCUCCCGUUAAAUCCAGCGACCUAAUCGUUGGGCUGCGGAAGAUACUGUUGGGCUAGGGGGCGGGAGAGGCCGACGGUAUUCCUGGGGUAGGGGUGAAAUCCUAUAAUCCCGGGAGGACCACCAGUGGCGAAG